AAAACGGCCCUUUUCAGGGCCACCAAACUUGUUGAUGUUGCAAGUCU
Molecule: non-coding RNA, 47 nt
Organism: Macrostomum lignano
Lineage: Eukaryota; Metazoa; Platyhelminthes; Macrostomidae
Source: Rfam